UUUUAAUUACAGUGAAGCCAUUCCUGCUGUUCUGUUUCCCCUACAAGCUGCAGUCCUUGCAGUUUAGGGACUGCUGUCCCCAGAGUACAAGGGAGUUCCUUCCCUGUGUCUGAGGAAAAUGGUCCCCCUGGAAGUCAGGGAGAUGACCUGGGAUGUAGCAGCUGCAGAAUGGAUCAGUAUUUAAAUUGGUUGCAUUGUGUGAGCAGUGAGUGCAAAGAAUGGAAGACUUUUGAAAUGAAUUUACUGUUUGACUGGAAAGCCUGGGAUUCAUUUACUUCACUGAAAUAGAACAGUAUACUGCUCAGGAGCAUCUAUAUCCAAGAUGAACAAAUGGAACACCCAACAUGUUU
RNAcentral lists this long non-coding RNA (350 nucleotides) under Coturnix japonica (Japanese quail). RNAcentral's name for it is "lncRNA (ENSCJPG00005009538.1)". Lineage: Eukaryota; Metazoa; Chordata; Aves; Galliformes; Phasianidae. The record is from RNAcentral.